This 929-nucleotide ribosomal RNA is filed under the name uncultured bacterium. Its description in RNAcentral is "bacterial SSU rRNA". It matches the Rfam family "Bacterial small subunit ribosomal RNA", at positions 56 to 981 of the family's 1533-position model. The record is from RNAcentral.
UGCAGUCGANGGCAGCGCGGGGCAACCUGGCGGCGAGUGGCGAACGGGUGAGUAAUAUAUCGGAACGUGCCCUGGAGUGGGGGAUAACGCAGCGAAAGUUGCGCUAAUACCGCAUACGAUCUAAGGAUGAAAGCGGGGGAUUCGCAAGAACCUCGUGCUCCUGGAGCGGCCGAUAUCUGAUUAGCUAGUUGGUGGGGUAAAGGCCUACCAAGGCAUCGAUCAGUAGCUGGUCUGAGAGGACGACCAGCCACACUGGAACUGAGACACGGUCCAGACUCCUACGGGAGGCAGCAGUGGGGAAUUUUGGACAAUGGGCGAAAGCCUGAUCCAGCAAUGCCGCGUGAGUGAAGAAGGCCUUCGGGUUGUAAAGCUCUUUUGUCAGGGAAGAAACGGUGAAGGCUAAUAUCCUUUGCUAAUGACGGUACCUGAAGAAUAAGCACCGGCUAACUACGUGCCAGCAGCCGCGGUAAUACGUAGGGUGCAAGCGUUAAUCGGAAUUACUGGGCGUAAAGCGUGCGCAGGCGGUUUUGUAAGUCUGUCGUGAAAUCCCCGGGCUCAACCUGGGAAUUGCGAUGGAGACUGCAAGGCUAGAAUCUGGCAGAGGGGGGUAGAAUUCCACGUGUAGCAGUGAAAUGCGUAGAGAUGUGGAGGAACACCGAUGGCGAAGGCAGCCCCCUGGGUCAAGAUUGACGCUCAUGCACGAAAGCGUGGGGAGCAAACAGGAUUAGAUACCCUGGUAGUCCACGCCCUAAACGAUGUCUACUAGUUGUCGGGUUUUAAUUAACUUGGUAACGCAGCUAACGCGUGAAGUAGACCGCCUGGGGAGUACGGUCGCAAGAUUAAAACUCAAAGGAAUUGACGGGGANCCGCACAAGCGGUGGAUGAUGUNGNAUUNAUUCGAUGCNACGCGAAAAANCNUUACCUACCCU